GACGAACGCUGGCGGCGUGCUUAACACAUGCAAGUCGAACGGAAAGGCCCUGCUUUUGUGGGGUGCUCGAGUGGCGAACGGGUGAGUAACACGUGAGUAACCUGCCCUUGACUUUGGGAUAACUUCAGGAAACUGGGGCUAAUACCGGAUAGGAGCUCCUGCUGCAUGGUGGGGGUUGGAAAGUUUCGGCGGUUGGGGAUGGACGCGCGGCUUAUCAGCUUGUUGGUGGGGUAGUGGCUUACCAAGGCUUUGACGGGUAGCCGGCCUGAGAGGGUGACCGGCCACAUUGGGACUGAGAUACGGCCCAGACUCCUACGGGAGGCAGCAGUGGGGAAUAAUGCACAAUGGGCGGAAGCCUGAUGCAGCAACGCCGCGUGCGGGAUGACGGCCUUCGGGUUGUAAACCGCUUUCGCCUGUGACGAAGCGUGAGUGACGGUAAUGGGUAAAGAAGCACCGGCUAACUACGUG
This 468-nucleotide ribosomal RNA is filed under the name uncultured bacterium. RNAcentral's name for it is "partial 16S ribosomal RNA". It matches the Rfam family "Bacterial small subunit ribosomal RNA", at positions 28 to 507 of the family's 1533-position model. The record is from RNAcentral.